Molecule: transfer RNA, 70 nt
Filed under: Cavia porcellus (domestic guinea pig)
Lineage: Eukaryota; Metazoa; Chordata; Mammalia; Rodentia; Caviidae
Rfam family: tRNA
About the family: Transfer RNA (tRNA) molecules are approximately 80 nucleotides in length.
Source: Rfam by way of RNAcentral
GGGGCUGUGGCUUAGAGGUGUAAGCGUCUGCCUUGCAAGCACAAGGUCCUGAGUUCAAUUCCCAGUACCA